RNAcentral lists this unclassified non-coding RNA (5945 nucleotides) under Rhagoletis pomonella (apple maggot). RNAcentral's name for it is "tyrosine-protein kinase Btk29A, transcript variant X2". The record is from RNAcentral. Lineage: Eukaryota; Metazoa; Arthropoda; Insecta; Diptera; Tephritidae.
AACUUAUGUAUGUAGCUGGUUGGUUGGUUGGUCGGUCAUUUUGCGGCAUUCGAGUGCGACCCGACCGGUUGUAAUGCAAGCGGCGGCUUUACUUACUUACUUGCCUCUGUACUCGCUAACUCAAAAGUGCCUUUUGCUUGAUUUAAGCCGGACUGGUUGGCUGGUUGUUUACUGGCUUUGUUAUUGAAGUCAGUCUCAGUCGAUUUUGAAACUCGUGCGCGUCGCGAUAGUGUUGUAUGCGCAAACGGAACGAAAUGUCUAUCAACAACGCAAAAAAUAUACGCCUAUGCUUACUACUUGAUUGAAUGACUUCUUCAAUUGCAAUUUUCUUAAGUGUUAAGUUGAGUGUUCUAAAAGUUUGCCAAAAUGUGAGAACGUUAAAUAACUGUUUAAAUAUUCUUAUGUACUUACAUUGAAAUCUGCAGUUUGGUUUCCAUAAAUGGUCUCCUUUGAUCCAAGUAUUGCUAGGAAGCCUCGCGACCGGUCCCUUGGCUGAGUGCAAUUUACGUCAUUUGCUUCUAAGGCCGGUCCUAGUCAGAGCUUCACAGUGGCACAUAAUUGUCCCCUUAAAAUACACGAACAUUGGUAAUUUUUGUUGAAACUUGGCAAGAGCCCAAUUCUUCCUUAAUUGUGAGUUUCUUCAAAAUAAUGUCUCGAAAAACAUGGUGACAACAAUAAAAAUAACUUGCGAUGGCGUAUUCAUUCAAUCCAAUUCGUAUCUCACGCCCACCGAGUCCGGCAACAAUGUUGCACAUCGCUCAACAUACGUAGCUAACGGCACUCAACAUUCGCCGAACUCAGCAACAUCGUUGGCAACAUCUACGACAACCGCAACAUCGUUCGCCAUUUGCAGCGACGAUCCAAGCAACUCUGACGGCAGUGUCAACGAAUUCGAGCAUUCACUACGUCAACGUUUAAGGCAUUUGAAUUCUCCCAAAGUCGCGCUUAUCUCGGCUACAAUUAGCAGUUGCAGCAAUAGCAAUAACAACGACAGCAACCACAACAGCAGAGAUACCAACAACGGUAAAGCGCACGCUACAUUUAACUCCUUCUCCUCCACCACAUCACCUUCGUCCUCGUCGCACUCGUCAUUCAACUCGCACGCCUCAAAUGCGUCUCAGCGUCAGCGCCGUCGCCGCAGUAAUUCCUCAAGCCACCGUGAUUCACUUAAAUUUGCUGCUGCCUCAGCAAAUGCGCACGCACCUCAAGGCAAACCGACAGCGGUGGAUACGCCUCGGCGCUACUACUACAAUGGUGCUGGCGGUGGCGGCGUAGGCGGCGUAGGCAGCAGCAACAACAUUUAUUGGUGCAAGCAAGCCAUCAUUGGUAGCAGCCGCAAUGGCAAGGCCAGUGGCGGCGGAUAUGGACAUAGCAGCGGUGCCGCACUAAAGCGUCGUGCCCACACGGUUGAACGUAUGCCGUUGACACGCAGCGCCAGCAGCGUCACUACUCAUAAAGAAUUUAGGAAUGCGAGCGCCGCGACAACAGCGGCUGCAACCACAGGUCUUGCGAAAGUGGUGGCAGUACGGCGCGGAAGCAACGAACAACAUGGCGCGGAGAUUAGCAACGACAGCGGCGAUACAUCGCUGAAGCUGGUAGCGGCGGCUGCAUCUAAUGGUUAUGGCACGCGCAGCUUGCAAGAAGAUUUUUAUUACUCCGAUGACAAAUCGGUGUGGAACAAUAGAAAAAACCAAAGUCAAAGCGAGGCGAAUGUUAGUGGCGGCAGUGCAAUAAAAGCCGUAAUAAAAAGUAUUAACAACAAAAACAGUCACAGCAAUUGCAACAAUAAAACUGCUGGAAGUAGUAGAGCCCCCUCACCGGCAGCGCCAGCGGGAAGCAACAGCAAUUCGCAAAACAAUUCGAAUGCAUUAAAUACAAAUAAUGCAAACCCGAAUACGCGCGCGAGUGUAAAAUGUGUGUCAAAACCCGCGCCCGCGUCAUCGCCGAGCGUAUCUUCCGCUGAUACGACGCGCCUAUUUAAUUUCCUACGUGCCGCGCGUAAAUUUUAUCGCAGUGCCGCGGUUGGGAGUAGUCAAGACUCGAAUUUGCGCACACACGCAGAUGAAGUAGAUGGUGUUGUUGCACAGCGGCGGCAGCAGCCCUCCUCCGAGCCGACAAAACGUCGUUCGUCGUUGGCAGCCAUCAAUGAUCGAUUGACGAUUGCGGAAUACGACAAGUCAUCAGCGUCAGAUGAUUUAAGCCAAAUAACGGUGACACUAAGUAAUGAUUGGUUUGAUGAGGAAUCGUUAAUUUCGAAAGAGAAUAAACAGCCAGCAAAUGACUUGAAAUGUCCACAGUCGAAAAGGGGACAAAGAGAACACAAACAGCUACAACAACUGCCUGAUAGUGGCGUAAACCACACCAGCACAACAGCAAAAACAACAGCAGCAGCUUUAAUCUCCCUCCGUAGCACAAGCGAAACAACUGCGACUGCCACAACCGCCGCAACAUCAACAAACAAUAAAACACCAAUUGCAACUCUAACAACACCAACGACCAAAGUAACCUCAACAACUCAGCAAAAGCCAAACGCACCUCAAACCGAACAGCUGCAGCAACUGAGUGGCCGCAAUAGCAAGAGCAGCCACAGCCACAGCCACAAAAGCAACAAUAGCAAACGUAUUGUUGCUACACCGCACGUUCGCUGCAUCAAUUCUCACAACGGUCCCGUAAUCAGCGCAGUCACAACUGCAUCACACACUUUAAAAACAAGUGCUACUGGCGCCGCGCGUGGACAAUCGGCUGUUUCAAACACCGCUGCGGGCACACCUACACCGAGUCCACUAGCGAGUGGUAUAGCGUCAACGACGUCAACGGCUGCCACGCCGGCGUCGUCGUCGUCGUCGUCGUCCGCAUCUUCAAUCUCGCCGAAAGCGAGCUGCAAUAAAGUUAUGAGCAGUCACGCCACAGCGACUCAGCAUAGCGGACAAACAACAGUGGUCGGUCAUCAUCGCGGCUUCUCGCAACCAUCCGUGACAGUGGCGGCCAAUUCAGCAGGCGAUCCAUGGUUCUUACAAUCCACCGGGCAUCAAAUGCCGCCCACAGCGCCUUUACGACACAAUAAACGUCCCGCGCCGCAACCGAAUCACGGCGGUGUGGGCGGCGGCUUAGGCGGCGGCAUUGGCAUCGGCGUAGGUGGUGGCGGCGGAGGCGCGAGUGGCGUCGGUAUAGCGAAUGCUGGCAGCGUAGGCGUCAGUUUGUUGCAUCAGCAGCAACUAAGCCAAUCGCAGCCGCAUAUUGUACCGCCAAAUAUACCGCCACACCAUCACAAUAACGUGAACCAACACCACAAUCCAAUCCACUUGUCCUCGCAUGCACUUAAUAGUCAUAAUUUAAUAUCAGUUGCAACCGGCGCCAAUCAUUCACCAAAAUCACCCAAUCAGCAACAACAACAGCAGCAACAGCAUCAUCAUCAGCAGCAACAGCAGCAGACAUCGCAAUUAACUGGCUCAGCGGCACAGCCACAUACACAUACACACACACACAUCUUAUCCACCUUUGCGCCACCAUCCGCUGUCAGUGGUGGCAAUUGCGCGCCCGCCACGGGCGGUGUGACAGCCGCUGCAGUGGCUGCCGUAACGCAACAGCAACAACAACAGCAUUUGCAGCUUCUAGCCAAUGCUUCCAGCAAUAGCAACAACAAUCUUAUGUCGUCUUCAUUGAAUGCGGCACAACAUAGCGCCGCACUAUCGUUGCACGAACGCGGUCUACCGCCGAAAAGUGGCGCCAUUGUUGCUGGCCUAGGCGGCGCACUACACGGCAGCAACAUGCUGUUACACCAAGCGCAAGCGCCCUCAUCGCUAUCGAGCAGUCAACAGCAAACGCAAUCGGCGAUAUCGCUCAACACUGCUGGUGGCAGUGGCGGUGUUGGUGUUGGUGGCAGCUCAGGCAUAGGUGCGACUAGCAUGUCUACAUCAUUGCAUAGUUUCGAUUUAAAUGGUGGUGGCGGUGUAGCGGCCAAUGCCUGGUCGAGUAAUUCCAAUGCAGCAGCCGCAUCGUUGCACUCACCCACCAACGCUAUGGCUGGCGGCGUUAAUCAACACCAUAUUCAGCCGCAACGGAAGUGCGAAGUGAAGCUGAACGCAAUGCCUUGGUUUCAUGGCAGCAUAACACGCGACGAAGCCGAACACCUGUUGCAGCCUCGCGAGGAUGGCCUAUUUUUAGUACGCGAAUCGACUAACUUCCCAGGCGACUAUACACUAUGCGUCUGCUUCCAAGGCAAAGUGGAACACUACCGUGUCAAGUACUUGGAAAACAAGCUAACCAUCGACGAUGAGGAGUACUUUGAAAACCUGGGGCAAUUGGUUGCGCAUUAUGAAGCAGAUGCCGAUGGUCUGUGCACGCAAUUGAUAAAAUGUUUACCGAAAAAGGGCAGGCAAGAAUUCUGCAUCAACUCUAAGGACUUCCUGGACAAGGGCUGGGUUAUACCAGAGGCUGAUUUGCAGCUGCGUGAAAGCAUCGGAAAGGGUGAAUUCGGCGAUGUGAUGCUGGGUAUAUUGCGCAGUGAAAAAGUCGCCGUUAAGAUGCUAAAGGAUGAGGGCGCUGUGCAAAAAUUCUUGGCGGAAGCAUCCGUCAUGACCACUUUAGAGCAUGAAAACUUGGUAAAGUUUAUAGGCUUGGUCUUCACCAGCAAACACAUCUACUUAGUGACGGAGUAUAUGAGCAAAGGUUCGCUGGUCGAUUAUCUGCGUUCGCGUGGACGGCAACACAUUACGAAAAAGGAUCAAAUCAAUUUUGCCUACGACACCGCCUCCGGCAUGGAAUAUUUGGAAGCUAAAAAAGUUGUACAUCGCGAUUUGGCCGCGCGUAACGUACUAAUAUCCGAAGAAUGUGUCGCCAAAGUGUCUGAUUUCGGUUUAGCGCGCGAAGAAUGCUACAAUUUGGAUGUCGGAAAAUUGCCAAUCAAAUGGACUGCACCUGAAGCGCUCAAGAAUGGUCGUUUUUCCAACAAAUCUGAUAUGUGGAGUUUCGGAAUUUUGUUAUGGGAAAUUUAUUCAUUUGGUCGAGUUCCUUAUCCCCGCAUACCCCUCAACGACGUGGUGAAACACGUUGAAGUCGGCUAUAAAAUGGAAGCACCCGAAGGCUGUCCACCCGAAAUAUAUGAAAUGAUGCGCCAAGCGUGGGACUUGAAUCCCGCCAAGCGACCAACGUUUGCCGAACUUAAAGUUAAGUUGUUACAUCUGAAAAACACCACACCAGCGUGAGAGCGCAAAUGCGUCGUACUACGCGCAUAGAAUGUGACAUUCAGCAGGCAAACAUUAAACAUUUGAAAACAAUCCAAUCCAAUCGAAGUGAAAUAAUGCAAAGAAAAAAAUUUAAAGAAAGUAAAAAAGAAGUGGUAAGCAGAAUAUUGUAAAAUGUGGAAUUUACACUUUUUUUUAACUAUAUGUAUUUGUUUUUAUUUAUGCUAUGUUUUUUUGUCAAUAGUCUGUUGGCAAUAUAUUUAAGUUAAAAAUUUUAAAAGCCUGGCGCCGGCAUUAAACUAUGAUUAAAAAAAAAAACGCAAGCAAACCAACUGCACUAAAUUGUGCAGCGUGCGUCUGCGCCUUAACUAAACGCAAGCAGCUAGCUGACAGGUUAAAUGUGAAAUAAGAAAAAAAUAUAUUAAUAAAAAAAAAAAAAUACUAUGCUACAUAAUUAUAAAUUAUUUAGUUCUCGUAAUUAUUUAUAUGCGUAUGUUUGUUUUUAGUUUAUAAUUGGUACAUUGUACGACACAUACUAUUUACUAGAAUGUAUGUAUGUUAGUACUACUAAAAAAAAAAUGACUAUUUACCACUACUGCUGCGACAAUUGUAUGUAUGUUAAGUUUACUUACCUAUUUACUUUAUUUAUACAGGAACACAAUCACACAAACACUUGUACACAUAGAAUUUUUUGUUUAUAACCUUUUCUAUGUAUAUUACACAAUAAAACUUGGACACGUACAAACGUAUGUAAUAAAAUAA